This is a long non-coding RNA of Esox lucius (northern pike), 3121 nucleotides long. The record is from Ensembl. NCBI's taxonomy places the organism in Eukaryota, Metazoa, Chordata, Actinopteri, Esociformes, Esocidae.
GUUGCGUCUCACGUGGGAUUUGGUGGUAUGGGUUUGAUAGGCGUGGAUUCGGCUGAGACCUGGGUCUCCGACUGUUCAGCCCCCAGAUGUAUUGUCUCUUGGUUGUAAUACGCUGCGGCGAUUUUUACUUUUCCAUAAAAUACAUUUUGUGUCUCAGCCCCUUGCGACUGAGUCUGUGGUGCCACUCCCGUUUCCUGAUAGGAAUAGCUUAGCCCUUCCUCUAGUGGCUUGUGUCGCGCUGGUUAGAACUCUGUUGCCGCUCAGGCCUCAUUGGAUAUGAGCAGCGGCAUAUGUGAAGAGACUCAUGUCUAUCACUUGCCCUGUAGGGUUAGGAACUAACGCCGGUGUCACCAUGCUGUCGUUCUCUUUUAGAAAGAGUAACGAGAUCAAGGGCGCGUACGAUAUUGUCUACUGUUCAGGACAUUGUGUCUACAACUGCCUCGGUUCACAUCUGUUCGACUGGGAAAGAGAACCCCGUGUAUAGGGCUAUACAGUUGCCAUCGCGGCUUCCGGUGUUGGCUCAGAGUUUUCGUCGCCGGUGUGGGUUCGCAGGGGUCUCGUCGAGGGAAUUGGCUUUGACCGGGCUGUGUGCGUUCUUCUAUUACAGAACCCUCCCGAAUACGGAAUGACAUCGCGCUUCCGUCCUCUGUGAUUCUCGUGUGGCUGAUGCGAUCACUGCUAGCCCUUCCUUAAAAUAGUUUAGUCCUUCCUCUGGUGAUUCGUAUCGCGCGGGUUUUGACUAACGGUGGAUGUCCACUGGUCCCGCGGAUACAAAUAAUUGUCUAUGAACAGCAUCAUGGCUUUAUUGACGGUUGCGCAAAGCAUCUCGGGAAGGUAACGCGGCCGUUUGAGCCAUAUUAUGUCUAUGGUUUGAGCUGUCUAUUCGCCUUAUUCACCCACGUCACUUCAUUUAAACCAAAACGAGGCUGUGGGGUACGGAAGUAACGUUGUCUCGCCCAUCUGUAGACUAUAAAUCCUAUACAGGUCAAACCUUCCAUCGUUUCCCCAAAGAUCAUGUACUUUGCCGUGAAUGGAUUUAUAAAAUAAGAAGAGAUCCCGGUCGCCAUUUCAAGGUAUCAUGAUGACAGACGCCCGCUGCUGCGCUCUGUCAAUGAACUUCCGGUUUAGAGUGUACCCCCUAGCCUCGUUUUGGAUUUCAAGAUGGACGGUGAAUAAGGUCAAUAAGCAGCCAUUGUUUCUGUCAUUUAUGGUGUUUGGACAUGUGAAUUUUUUUUUUUGAGUUUUUUUAUUAGGUUUUUCCGGCGCCUGGCAUUUUCAUUCGGAGACGGAUGCGCGGCCUGCCGGGCUGGUUGGAGGUAGAUGGCCGUGGUAACGUAUGGAAGUUGCUGAAGGCCUAAUGAGAAGUUUUUUGGAAGGCGUAGGCUACGGACUUCUUGGAAGUUUGCGUGGUCCCAACAUUUCCCUGCCGGAGGCCGAACUGGCCCUCGUUUGGUUUCGCUCUAUGGACCUUUUCGUUGUCCGUGGUGGUGUUCGCUCUGCUUUGGAAGUGUUGAGCUACACGGGUCAAGAAAAUGUCCAGAAGUGGGGAGUCUCAGGUACACAGGAACACGCAGGAACGCUGGACCGCCUGGGGGAGGGGUGCGGACGGUCAGACAGGAGACGCUCCAGAGGGAGCAUCGACCGGUACAGGACACUUGAAAGCGAUUCAGCAAUAGAGGGCUUACAAGGACAACUGUGAGGUGGCUGAGAUGAGAUGGAUCUCACAGACACACAGACAGACUGUCCUACAGCGGAGAGGAGUCUACUCUGGGACACUGCACGUCUAGGUGCCGCACGUCUACAGGAUGCUGGGCUCCUGUGAGCCGGACUGAUUCGAGUCCUGACGAUUCUGCAAUGUGAUGGAGAAGGCAACCACUGGCCGAGAGGAUGGAGGCGAAAGAAAGCUCCGGUUCUGGACAACGUUUACGGGGACGCGGAAAGAUCUACUGCACGACAUCAUGCUACGCUGAUUGGGUCCAUACCAGGUAACAUCUCAUCUGCUGUCCAGGUAGCUGAGAGAGGAGCCUGGGGUUGACGACACACGCUAAAGGAGGGCUUCAGUGUUUCAAGAUUAGGCACAGUGAAUUGAAGUCACUGAGGGAAAAGUGAAUUUUCUGGUGCUAGUAACCAUCACUUCCGACCCGGCCUGCAGCUAUAGAGCCCUUGGAUAAAACUGGUCAUCUUGGCAUUCACAAAGGAGAACACACGAUUCUCCUGACCUGGCUGAUGAAGCAGCUAGAAUGAAGACAACUAGAGCUGUGUCAUGGUAACCUGCAUUUGAGCUAUGAAGGACAACACCUUGGAAUAUACAUCUGACUUUUACGUUCUGUUACACCGGCCUGCCAAGAAAUGGUUCAUAACUGACUGUCUGACGUUUGGAGGAGCAGAACUUUGGAAGUACAUCUAAAUGGAACCAUGGAGAGGGCUUUUCAGUAAAUCAAGCAAUUGGCCUGAGAGGACUUUGUACCAGUGACAAAUUGAAGGAUCUAUACAGUGAUGGGUGUUUAUAUACCCACUUGUCGAUGCUACAUAUCCCAUAAUGUCAGUAUGUGUCACCUGAAAUGUUUUCCUUUGACCAAUUAUUUUAACACAAAAAGGUUUUGCUGUACUAUUAUAGUUUUGUAUAAUGAAAAUGUGUUCUCUAAGUAUAAGGGUAAUGAUAUCAUGUUGUUAAAGAGUACUGUUUUGUUGCAUCCUAAUGAGUAAACUGUUUAAGGAUUGAUACCAAGGGUUGAUUUGGUAUCAAGAGAUGGAUUGUUAUGGAAAUGUCUUGAACUGCAUUCUUAUUGAUUCAUGUAUUGAGUCCCCAUGUUUAGAUAAGAAAAGGAAUGUCGGUUGUGCUGUGGUAAAGGAAGUAUGAGGUGCUGAGGUAAACGUAAACCUAUAGCAGGAUGGGGGUAGAUACAUAACAAUGGGUUUUAGGACAGGAUUGAGGAAGAUACCUUCUGUUGUGUAAGAUGGAUAAGGAACAUGUGGUGUCUGUGGUAUGACCAUGAAGAUUCUUAAUCUCCACCCAUUUCUCUAUAAGUAUCGAAUGUAUUUUCAAAUGUUUAGAGACUCCUAGGAUGAUUGUUUGUAAGCGUUUGAAGCGUCUCUAUAUUUGCAAAUAAAUAAACUUAAU